This 242-nucleotide ribosomal RNA is filed under the name uncultured bacterium. RNAcentral describes it as "partial 16S ribosomal RNA". It matches the Rfam family "Bacterial small subunit ribosomal RNA", at positions 92 to 334 of the family's 1533-position model. The record is from RNAcentral.
CGACCGGCGCACGGGUGCGUAACGCGUAUGCAACCUACCUUUAACAGGGGGAUAACACUGAGAAAUUGGUACUAAUACCCCAUAAUAUCAUAGAAGGCAUCUUUUUAUGGUUGAAAAUUCCGAUGGUUAGAGAUGGGCAUGCGUUGUAUUAGCUAGUUGGUGGGGUAACGGCUCACCAAGGCGACGAUACAUAGGGGGACUGAGAGGUUAACCCCCCACACUGGUACUGAGACACGGACCAG